GGGAAUAUUCUGGAACUGGGGCGCAGAACGGGGAUGACAUAAUUCUGGGGUGGGGACAAGGAAUGGCGUAACUGGGCUGAGGUGACUUGGAUGAUGUAACUGAGGUACAUAAAACAACAAAGGACUGUGGGAGAACAUUCCUUAAAUGGGGGUCUCAUCCCAGGGCACCCCACAAACAGAAUCUCCCACCAGCUCCUGGGAUGAAAUAGUUCUCUCCAUUACAAAACAGGCAGGACAGGAAGACAACAGAAUUGCACCCACAUUCAAAAAUCAUCCUACUAAUUAACACAAAGACCUGCACUGGAGCCAUUGUGAAGACUUAAGGCCCAAAGCAGUUACGCAGUCGAGCAUGUGUUUAAGAAUGAAGGAUGUGGUAUCCUUGGGAGUUCUGCAUAUCAUCUGAUAGAGGCUUUCAAAUCCCUGGCAAUGCAUAAGGGAUGACAUCAAACUAUGUUAAUAUACUGUUUGUAUAACCAAAUAUACUUGUGAUUGUGAUUAUUAGCACAAUGAAAAUGUUGUAG
This 521-nucleotide long non-coding RNA is filed under the name Cyanistes caeruleus (blue tit). Its description in RNAcentral is "lncRNA (ENSCCEG00000009977.1)". The record is from RNAcentral. Lineage: Eukaryota; Metazoa; Chordata; Aves; Passeriformes; Paridae.